UCGCAGAAGUCAUAUCCUGGACCUGGCGGC
This 30-nucleotide non-coding RNA is filed under the name Rattus norvegicus (Norway rat). The record is from RNAcentral. Lineage: Eukaryota; Metazoa; Chordata; Mammalia; Rodentia; Muridae.